UCGAACGGUAACAGGAAGCAGCUUGCUUGCUUCGCUGACGAGUGGCGGACGGGUGAGUAAUGUCUGGGAAACUGCCUGAUGGAGGGGGAUAACUACUGGAAACGGUAGCUAAUACCGCAUAACGUCGCAAGACCAAAGAGGGGGACCUUCGGGCCUCUUGCCAUCGGAUGUGCCCAGAUGGGAUUAGCUAGUAGGUGGGGUAACGGCUCACCUAGGCGACGAUCCCUAGCUGGUCUGAGAGGAUGACCAGCCACACUGGAACUGAGACACGGUCCAGACUCCUACGGGAGGCAGCAGUGGGGAAUAUUGCACAAUGGGCGCAAGCCUGAUGCAGCCAUGCCGCGUGUAUGAAGAAGGCCUUCGGGUUGUAAAGUACUUUCAGCGGGGAGGAAGGGAGUAAAGUUAAUACCUUUGCUCAUUGACGUUACCCGCAGAAGAAGCACCGGCUAACUCCGUGCCAGCAGCCGCGGUAAUACGGAGGGUGCAAGCGUUAAUCGGAAUUACUGGGCGUAAAGCGCACGCAGGCGGUUUGUUAAGUCAGAUGUGAAAUCCCCGGGCUCAACCUGGGAACUGCAUCUGAUACUGGCAAGCUUGAGUCUCGUAGAGGGGGGUAGAAUUCCAGGUGUAGCGGUGAAAUGCGUAGAGAUCUGGAGGAAUACCGGUGGCGAAGGCGGCCCCCUGGACGAAGACUGACGCUCAGGUGCGAUAGCGUGCGGAGCAUACAGGAUUAGAUACUCUGGUAGUCCACGCCGUACACGAUGUCGACUUGGAGGUUGUGCCCUUGAGGCGUGGCUUCCGGAGCUAACGCGUUAAGUCGACCGCCUGGGGAGUACGGCCGCUAGGUUAAAACUCAUAUGAAUUGACGGGGGCCC
Molecule: ribosomal RNA, 872 nt
Filed under: Escherichia coli
Lineage: Bacteria; Pseudomonadati; Pseudomonadota; Gammaproteobacteria; Enterobacterales; Enterobacteriaceae
Description: bacterial SSU rRNA
Rfam family: Bacterial small subunit ribosomal RNA
Source: RNAcentral